This 4830-nucleotide long non-coding RNA is filed under the name Homo sapiens (human). RNAcentral describes it as "HSALNT0181242". The record is from RNAcentral. Lineage: Eukaryota; Metazoa; Chordata; Mammalia; Primates; Hominidae.
CUAAAUUAGGGGUUUUAUAUUUUUCUGUAGUUCUCACAGCAAUCAUUCCAGGUAAGUAUUGCCAUUCCCAUUUUACAGAGAAGAAAACUAAGGAAAUUAGAAAUUACCAAACCCCAAGACAUUGCUCUUCAUGGAUUCAAGCACUUUUGGAAUCUUUUCCUUCUGGAGAUCAGGUUGGGCUGUGUGUCAGGCCACAAUCACCCUGUUUGACCCCAGAGUUUGACACAGACGUUGGCUUAGGGACCAGCAGCCUGUUCCUGCUGUGUCCCUAUGCCAGCUGGAGACACCCGGCCUCGGAGGCUCACGUUAUGCCGACCCCCACCCCAGUGCUGUCACGCCACUGCCAGUUGUUCCUCAUCUUAAUCCUACUUCAUGGUGGUCAUUUUAAAAGCAUCAGAGCUUUUGACACAGAACCAAAGGGCAUUGCAGUGAAUGGGCCCUUUCUCUCCAUUGGUACCUGUAUUUGGUUUUCUUCUUUUUUGCUAUGGAUGAAGAUAUCUCAUGGAUGAAUGAUGCCAUUGUGAGCUUGGAGAAUACUAAUAUGGCAACAGGUCACAACAUGCGUGACAGGAAAUAGAACAACAGUAGAAAAACAUCUGGGACAUGCCUUAUGGACAAGCGACAUAAAGACCAGACAAGAAAGAAGAAAGGAAAAGAGGUGAGAAGUCACAUUAGAAAAAACUUACAGGAAAGCAUUGAUUCAACCAAGGGCAUAAACUUCAUUGAGCAGCUGGAAAAAUUGACAUUGUCUGGUACUUGGAAAAGAGGUUUUGUUCUGAACACUCCUGGUCUUGGAUAAAGGGAGGAAAUUUUAACCAUCCCAGAGAGUCAGGGGCUGCUUCUGCAACUGAGGUUUGUGCCUGGUACUUACUGGAAAUGGCUUUGCUUCCUGAAAGGUGAAGGUGGAGAAAGCUUAUUGAGAGAUCUCUGAUUGUGGGUGUGAGUUGCCUGGGGGAAGGAAGUGACACAUGAUAAAUUAAAAUCAGUUGCAUGGUCAAUGGGUAAAAUGAAUAGAGCUAAAGUCUGAAUCUCACAUAUACAUAAUUUUUUUUAUCAAUAUGUAUUGUGGGAAUUCUCAUUGUAAGAAAGUUAUUGCAAAUCAGCUUGUAAGUCCCCUAAGAAGCCUUUCUUGAUUCCCUUCCCUUCCUGAUUUUUUUCCUCCCUCUCUAUUUCUAUAACUAGGGUGACCAGGUGUCCCAGUUUGCCCAGGACAGUCCUAGUUUGCACCUGUUGUCCUGAUGUAAUCAUCAAUAGUACUCCCUUUCAUUUUCCUAAGUAUCCUGGUUUCACUCUUUCAUAAUACUCUGCACUUCUCCAUAUCAUAGCACUCACUGAUCUGUGUAAUAAAUGAUUUAUCUGUAUCCUUCAUUAGACUGAAAGGCCUCUGAGUACAAGCGUCUCGUCUGUCUUAUUCACUGUUGGAUUUUCAGUACCUAGUACUGAGCUGGGCACACUGCUGGCACCCCAAAAUGUUCAUUAGGUAGACAAAUAAAUGCCUAUGAUCCAACUCAGGUUCCCGGGGUGGCCUGGCAGGAAAUGCUUCAUGGGCUAUUCUGAGCAAGGUAGCAAUCACACGGAGAAUACGGGAAUCAAUUAAUCAAAAGCUUUUCCCGAUCCCACCCUUAGGUAGACUGAUUUAUACAUGUUGGUAGAGUCCAGCCCCCUCUGUCAUCUGAGUGUCAUCUGAGUGUCAUCUGUACAGGCAGCCCAGGUCACUCUUUUUCUGUAUAGUCGUUGUAUAAAAAGCCAGCAUGGGCUGUUGUCCACAUGAAUUACUCCCUGGAAAUAAUGCUGUCCUGAAAGACCAGCAGCCUGAGAGUAACAGAGAAGAGGGGCAGCAGCAGGGGCACUGAUGGCCAGGUUCAGCUUGGCCACUCACUGACGUUGGGAUCUUGGUCAAAGCACUUCACCUCUCAGCCUUACAAGAGAAAGGUCCCUUCCAGCUGUCAUCCUCUGUAAUUCAGUGACUAUCCUAGGGUUCACUAACAUAGCAGUCAAGGGCUGCGAGCCAGGAUUAUAAUCAUCUCAAUGGAGAACUAGAGAUUGCCUUUGGGGUACUCUACAUUCAGUUUCGGUAGGGCUUGUUGCUCAGCAAAGCCUGUCCCAGGGUUCCUCUUCCACCCCUGAGAGCCCUGCUAAUCAACCCAGAGGUACUGGCUGCCCUGCCAGGCAAAGAUGAGAAGCAUUUAGGAGUAUACGAUCCCAGGUAACCAGCCAGGUAUUUAACCAGGAUAAUCUAGAGCAGGGUCACUGGGUAAACAUUCUGGACUGUGAUUGAGAAAGAAUGCAAAGGAUCAAUCAGAGCUGUGAGAAAAAACCUUCAACAGGGAAAUGGCAGCAUGGGAUCAGAAGACAGAAAUACUCAAUACGGUGUGGGAAGCAGUGGGCAAAGCUGGAGAGGCAGAGACAGCAGCGUGGAUACUGCUGUCAAUCAGGGAAAUACUUGAGUGGUGCCGUUUUUAUGGAGCUGUGGGUGUGUGAAAGGCCCAACUGCUGAGAAGGCCUGGAAUGCUAGUGACUACCAAGGAUUCAUACAAAAUCAUGAUUGGGGUUAUCUGAAAUUUAACAGAGGAUUCCUGAAGAUGCAAACCUUCAUCCAGAAAGCAAAUUCUCACAUGACGGAAUUUCAGAUGGUAUGGCAAGCCUAGAGGAGGAGCUAUUUGGAGCCACUAAGAUUGGGUCAUAAAGCUCCUGCACAACCUGCCUUCCUCUAAAGCCAGAGUCAGUAAGAUAAGCCAGGAUCUAGGGGAAUUGUUGAAUAAGAUCGGUGAAAGGUCCUGCAGGUUUUUAAGCCUCCAGUGUUACCUGAAAGCUGAGGAUGACAAGUUGGCCAGUCAGGAGUGGAGACAAAAUCAUAAGUCUGUGCUUCUAAAACUGUCCCUUUUGGAAGAGUGAGCAUGUGCUCCUGGGUUUUGGGAACAUAAAGCAGUUCCCUAAGAAAUCACAGGUUCUGCUGGGACCUGUCCCACAUCUAGGAGUUGAUCAGCUGCUACUCAGAUACUGUGAAACUGAGGGCCCUCAACUGGGGGCUGCCGCCAAGGGAGGGACCACGGACUCUCAGAUAGUGACAUCUUAUGUCCCCAGAGAGCAAAAGAUUCCCUGGGAACUUAAGAGGAGUCAGGGAAGCCGGGAUGGCUCAGAAAGCAGCCUGCUCCCUCCCUGCCACCUCUGAAUCCUGGGGUUUUAGAAUCUCCCUGACAGUUUGGCAACACUUGAGGUAAUAGCAGCAGAGCUAAUUUGCUAAUCUGCCAGAACUGCAUCCAACAUCCUUUUGUGCACUGACACUAGAGUAAUGGGAAGGCACUAGCUCGGCCACUGUUUGCCUGCUGAAACUAAGCUAUGGCAUUCUCUGCAUAAUUCAUUUGUGCAUGAAAUGGAAGCCUAAUAGCAUAAGUAAAACACUAAGCAGAAAUAGGUGGUAAAUGUCUUUUUUAAGUCUUAAAGAUAGACUCUACUUCACUUAUAAAGCCCAAUUUGGUAAUACUUAAUGGCAUGAAACACUUUUCUCUGGAGCCAUACCUACUGACUGCUUUUUGAUCCCCCUACCUUCCCAGGCCCCUGCCUGCUGAGAUAGUCAGUCCAUCAUCCCCUUGACUCUCUCUGCCUCCCCAGCCAUGCCCUUGCAGAUGGCACUGAGCCCAGCAUCCUGUCCUCACAGGGCCUCUUACCCUCCCGCAGGGCCCACUGUAGCAGCAAAGGCUGGAGGCAUCCAGGUUCCAGGCCAGGCCAGGCCUGGAAGGUCCGAGCUUGCUGGUAACUGAGCUCAGGGAACGGAGGCCCUGUGGUGAGCUCAGAGGGGCAGCAGUAGCCAGGGCCAGGGGGUCGUGAGUGGGAGGAGUUGGCCUCUGUUCUUCCAGAAUUGGGAGGGCUCUGCUAAAACAGCUGCUUCUCAGUAGAGGAGCCUCAGGCCAAGUGAGUCUGCUCAGAGCCCGCUCAGAGCCCGCUCAGUGCCCGCUCAGUGUUCAGAUGGGUCAGGAGCCUAGCACAAUGGGCUUUGAGCUUUGUGGGUCUCUUUCCGGUUAUCCCUUGCUGCAGAAGAAAUUAUCCUAAAACAUAGUGACUUAAAACAACAGUUUUAUUUAGCUCACAAUUGUAUGGUUUAGGAAUUUGGGAAGAAAUUGGCUGGGCCAUUCAUCUCUGAAUCUCACAGUGUCAUGUGGGGCAGGAUCCACUUACAAGAUGGUUCCUCACACCUGCUUCCGGUGCCUCCUGGGUCCUCUGCUCCUCUCUGUCUCUGCACUUCUACAGGGACCUCUCCAGCGGCUUCAGCUUCUCACAGCAUGGCCCUCAAGGCUGGUGCCCAUGAGGAAAUGUUCAAAAGCAAGCAGACGAAGAGGCACGUGGGGAAGCUGCGACUUCUGUGACCGAGCCUCCAAAUCCCCAAAGUCACACAGCUGCAUUCUGGACUUACCAAGCAUGUUGGUAAGUCCAGCCAUGUCUAAGGGGAGAGGAGGCGUCAAUCUCAUCUCUGGAUGUGCACACAGGGAAGGAAGCAUUGAUGGAUGCCACCUUGGAGGCACAGUACCACAGUCUCCCAGUUACUCAGCUUCUGACAUUGAAACUGUGGACAAGAGAUCCUGGAGGACAGACCCUGAAGCGCUCCCUUACCUGAUGGCCUCCCGACAGAAGAGGAACCCUGGGCUUUAGAGACUGAUUAUUGUAACACUGAGACCAAAUGGUGGUCAGUCUUCGAGGGCACACCCUAUGCAGACUCAUUUCUGUGUGGGCAAAUGAGUGUCAUCUAAAUAUAUCUCAGCCAUACUGCUUCAGCCCUAAGGCUUGGUUUCAUACAGUGACACAUUAAAAAGAAAAACAAAUCUAACUCCAAAC